RNAcentral lists this ribosomal RNA (81 nucleotides) under Bifrenaria charlesworthii. RNAcentral's name for it is "partial 26S ribosomal RNA". It matches the Rfam family "Eukaryotic large subunit ribosomal RNA", at positions 1 to 80 of the family's 3401-position model. The record is from RNAcentral. Lineage: Eukaryota; Viridiplantae; Streptophyta; Magnoliopsida; Asparagales; Orchidaceae.
GCGACCCCAGGAUGGGCGAGGCCACCCGCCGAGUUUAAGCAUAUCAAUAAGCGGAGGAGAAGAAACGUACGAGAAUUCCCA